This 530-nucleotide ribosomal RNA is filed under the name uncultured bacterium. Its description in RNAcentral is "bacterial SSU rRNA". It matches the Rfam family "Bacterial small subunit ribosomal RNA", at positions 777 to 1304 of the family's 1533-position model. The record is from RNAcentral.
AAUAGAUACCCGGGUAGUCCACGCCGUAAACGAUGAGUGCUAAGUGUUGGGGGGUUUCCGCCCCUCAGUGCUGCAGCUAACGCAUUAAGCACUCCGCCUGGGGAGUACGGCCGCAAGGCUGAAACUCAAAAGAAUUGACGGGGGCCCGCACAAGCGGUGGAGCAUGUGGUUUAAUUCGAAGCAACGCGAAGAACCUUACCAGGUCUUGACAUCCCGCUGCCCGGUAUAGAGAUAUAUCUUUCCCUUCGGGGACAGCGGUGACAGGUGGUGCAUGGUUGUCGUCAGCUCGUGUCGUGAGAUGUUGGGUUAAGUCCCGCAACGAGCGCAACCCUUGAUCUUAGUUGCCAGCAUUUAGUUGGGCACUCUAAGGUGACUGCCGGUGACAAACCGGAGGAAGGUGGGGAUGACGUCAAAUCAUCAUGCCCCUUAUGACCUGGGCUACACACGUGCUACAAUGGAUGGUACAAAGAGCUGCAAGACCGCGAGGUUUAGCCAAUCCCAUAAAAACCAUUCUCAGUUCGGAUUGCAGG